GACGAACGCUGGCGGCGUGCUUAACACAUGCAAGUCGAACGGAAAGGCCCCGCUUUUGUGGGGUGCUCGAGUGGCGAACGGGUGAGUAACACGUGAGUAACCUGCCCUUGACUUUGGGAUAACUUCAGGAAACUGGGGCUAAUACCGGAUAGGAGCUCCUGCUGCAUGGUGGGGGUUGGAAAGUUUCGGCGGUUGGGGAUGGACUCGCGGCUUAUCAGCUUGUUGGUGGGGUAGUGGCUUACCAAGGCUUUGACGGGUAGCCGGCCUGAGAGGGUGACCGGCCACAGUGGGACUGAGAUACGGCCCAGACUCCUACGGGAGGCAGCAGUGGGGAAUAUUGCACAAUGGGCGGAAGCCUGAUGCAGCAACGCCGCGUGCGGGAUGACGGCCUUCGGGUUGUAAACCGCUUUCGCCUGUGACGAAGCGUGAGUGACGGUAAUGGGUAAAGAAGCACCGGCUAACUACGUG
RNAcentral lists this ribosomal RNA (468 nucleotides) under uncultured bacterium. RNAcentral's name for it is "partial 16S ribosomal RNA". It matches the Rfam family "Bacterial small subunit ribosomal RNA", at positions 28 to 507 of the family's 1533-position model. The record is from RNAcentral.